RNAcentral lists this ribosomal RNA (254 nucleotides) under uncultured bacterium. RNAcentral's name for it is "partial 16S ribosomal RNA". It matches the Rfam family "Bacterial small subunit ribosomal RNA", at positions 524 to 776 of the family's 1533-position model. The record is from RNAcentral.
UACGUAGGGCGCAAGCGUUGUCCGGAGUUACUGGGCGUAAAGGGUGCGCAGGCGGCGUCACGCGUGGAUAGUUGAAAUCUCCUGGCUUACCUGGGAGGGUGGUAUCCAGACGGUGGCGCUUGAGGGUCGGAGAGGGGCGUGGAAUUCCGGGUGGAGCGGUGAAAUGCGUAGAGAUCCGGAGGAACACCGACGGCGUAGGCAGCGCCCUGGACGACACCGGACGCUGAGGCACGAAAGCUGGGGGAGCGAACAGG